Long non-coding RNA from Empidonax traillii (willow flycatcher), 266 nucleotides. RefSeq lists it as uncharacterized. The transcript has 2 exons. The record is from RefSeq and is a predicted model, not a curated record. NCBI's taxonomy places the organism in Eukaryota, Metazoa, Chordata, Aves, Passeriformes, Tyrannidae.
UGGCAGCUGCUAGAAGAGGCGACAAAACUCCAUCAUCAUUUGGAGAAUUUCAUGCUGGAUGGCAGCCAAACAGAACAAUGUAAAAGAGAGGUGGAAGAACGAGAUGAGCAGGAAAUAACACAAAAACUACAAGAAGUCAAUCAGUUUUUGCAAGCACAGGCAGCCCACCAGCAUGAAUUUGGACAAAUUGGAGACAGGAGUUGUGAUUCAGUGAGACACCAGCUGGAAGAAAGAAUUAGAGAUCUCGAGAGUGAAUUGGACAGGGU